GAUGAACGCUGGCGGCGUGCCUAAUACAUGCAAGUCGAGCGCGAGAUUGAGGAGCUUGCUCCUCAUGAUCGAGCGGCGGACGGGUGAGUAACACGUAGGCAACCUACCCUUGAGAUUGGGAUAACUACCGGAAACGGUAGCUAAUACCGGAUACGACUUUACUGCAUAAGCAGUUCAGUUAAAAGGCGGAUUUAUAUGCCGCUCAUGGAUGGGCCUGCGGUGCAUUAGCUAGUUGGUGAGGUAGUGGCUCACCAAGGCGACGAUGCAUAGCCGACCUGAGAGGGUGAUCGGCCACACUGGGACUGUGACACGGCCCAGACUCCUACGGGAGGCAGCAGUAGGGAAUCUUCCGCAAUGGACGAAAGUCUGACGGAGCAACGCCGCGUGAGUGAUGAAGGGUUUCGGCUCGUAAAACUCUGUUGUUAAGGAAGAACACUUGAGGUAGUAACUGGCCUUGAGAUGACGGUACUUAACCAGAAAGCCACGGCUAACUACGUGCCAGCCGCCGCUGUAA
This 514-nucleotide ribosomal RNA is filed under the name uncultured bacterium. RNAcentral's name for it is "partial 16S ribosomal RNA". It matches the Rfam family "Bacterial small subunit ribosomal RNA", at positions 28 to 523 of the family's 1533-position model. The record is from RNAcentral.